GUGCGAUAAGUAGUGUGAAUUGCAGAAUUCCGUGAAUCAUCGAAUUUUUGAACGCAAAUUGCGCUUCCUGGCAUCCCGGGAAGUAUGCCUGUUUGAGGGUCAGUGUUAAUAAAAAAUCGGUUUGGUUGCAAAUUGUGACUUUCCGGAGUUUGGGCUAUCUUAACUUUUUUGGUUAAGAGGCUUAAAAUUGACCUUUUUUGCGCAUUUUUAGACGUACAUAAAUUUUUUUUUAUUCGUCUAUUCUUAAUGCCAAAAUCUUAUUAGAUGCGAUCACAUCGUGUGGUUUCGUGUCCAUAAAAUUUUCAUGAUUUGACCUCAAAUCAGGUAGGAGUACCCGCUGAACUUAA
This 347-nucleotide unclassified non-coding RNA is filed under the name uncultured Rhizoglomus. RNAcentral's name for it is "partial contains 5.8S ribosomal RNA, internal transcribed spacer 2, and large subunit ribosomal RNA". The stretch from base 1 to 102 matches the Rfam family "5.8S ribosomal RNA", at positions 53 to 154 of the family's 154-position model. Lineage: Eukaryota; Fungi; Glomeromycota; Glomeromycetes; Glomerales; Glomeraceae. The record is from RNAcentral.